RNAcentral lists this ribosomal RNA (570 nucleotides) under Triticum aestivum (bread wheat). RNAcentral describes it as "partial small subunit ribosomal RNA". Lineage: Eukaryota; Viridiplantae; Streptophyta; Magnoliopsida; Poales; Poaceae. The record is from RNAcentral.
CUGGAAAAGAGUCGUAGAAUGCCAGGAAUCCCAAAGCCCAUUGAUUUCUGUAUUGAUUUACAAAUCAAGAGAGAUCGUGGAUAUCAGACAAAACUCAGAAAGAACUAUCAAGAUGGAAGUUAUCCUAUAGAUGUUGUAUCCAUGCCUGUUCGAAAUGUGAAUUAUAGUAUUUUUUCUUGUGGGAAUGGAAAUGAAAAACACGAGAUACUUUUUCUAGAAAUAUGGACUAAUGGAAGUUUAACCCCUAAGGAAGCACUUUAUGAGGCUUCUCGUAAUUUGAUUGAUUUAUUUCUUCCUUUUCUACACGCGGAGGAAGAGGGCGCUAGUUUUGAAGAAAAUAAAAACAGGUUUACUCCACCCCUUUUUACUUUUCAAAAAAGAUUAACUAAUCUAAAGAAAAACAAAAAAGGAAUUCCAUUGAAUUGUAUUUUUAUUGAUCAAUUAGAAUUGACUUCUAAAACGUAUAAUUGUCUAAAAAGGGCCAAUAUACAUACAUUAUUGGACCUUUUGAGUAAGACUGAAGAAGAUCUUGGCCAAUUACACGGAAUUCGCGAUUAUUCUAUUUCCUGA